AGUGAACGCUGGCGGUAGGCCUAACACAUGCGAGUCGAACGGCAGCACAGUAAGAGCUUGCUCUUACGGGUGGCGAGUGGCGGACGGGUGAGGAAUACAUCGGAAUCUACUUUUUCGUGGGGGAUAACGUAGGGAAACUUACGCUAAUACCGCAUACGACCUACGGGUGAAAGCAGGGGAUCUUCGGACCUUGCGCGAUUGAAUGAGCCGAUGUCGGAUCAGCUAGUUGGCGGGGUAAAGGCCCACCAAGGCGACGAUCCGUAGCUGGUCUGAGAGGAUGAUCAGCCACACUGGAACUGAGACACGGUCCAGACUCCUACGGGAGGCAGCAGUGGGGAAUAUUGGACAAUGGGCGCAAGCCUGAUCCAGCCAUACCGCGUGGGUGAAGAAGGCCUUCGGGUUGUAAAGCCCUUUUGUCGGGAAAGAAAAGCAGCAGGUUAAUACCCCGCUGUUCUGACGGUACCCAAAGAAUAAGCACCGGCUAACUUCGUG
RNAcentral lists this ribosomal RNA (492 nucleotides) under uncultured bacterium. Its description in RNAcentral is "partial 16S ribosomal RNA". It matches the Rfam family "Bacterial small subunit ribosomal RNA", at positions 29 to 507 of the family's 1533-position model. The record is from RNAcentral.